Molecule: ribosomal RNA, 830 nt
Filed under: uncultured bacterium
Lineage: Bacteria
Description: bacterial SSU rRNA
Rfam family: Bacterial small subunit ribosomal RNA
Source: RNAcentral
AGAGUUUGAUCCUGGCUCAGAUUGAACGCUGGCGGCAUGCCUUACACAUGCAAGUCGAACGGUAACAGGUCUUCGGAUGCUGACGAGUGGCGAACGGGUGAGUAAUACAUCGGAACGUGCCCAGUAAUGGGGGAUAGCUCGGCGAAAGCCGGAUUAAUACCGCAUACGCCCUGAGGGGGAAAGUGGGGGAUCGCAAGACCUCACGUUAUUGGAGCGGCCGAUGGCUGAUUAGCUAGUUGGUAGGGUAAAGGCCUACCAAGGCGACGAUCAGUAGCUGGUCUGAGAGGACGAUCAGCCACACUGGGACUGAGACACGGCCCAGACUCCUACGGGAGGCAGCAGUGGGGAAUUUUGGACAAUGGGGGAAACCCUGAUCCAGCAAUGCCGCGUGUGCGAAGAAGGCCUUCGGGUUGUAAAGCACUUUUGUCAGGGAAGAAAUCCUUUGGGCUAAUACCCUAGGGGGAUGACGGUACCUGAAGAAUAAGCACCGGCUAACUACGUGCCAGCAGCCGCGGUAAUACGUAGGGUGCAAGCGUUAAUCGGAAUUACUGGGCGUAAAGCGUGCGCAGGCGGUUGUGUAAGACAGGUGUGAAAUCCCCGGGCUUAACCUGGGAAAUUGCAUUUGUGACUGCACGACUAGAGUGUGUCAGAGGGGGGUGGAAAUUCCACGUGUAGCAGUGAAAUGCGUAGAUAUGUGGAGGAACACCAAUGGCGAAGGCAGCCCCUGGGAUAAACACUGACGCUCAUGCACGAAAGCGCGGGGGAGCAAACAGGAUUAGAUACCUGGUAGUCCACGCCCUAAACGAUGUUCAACUAGUUGUUGGGGAUUU